This 1015-nucleotide ribosomal RNA is filed under the name Protodrilus smithsoni. RNAcentral's name for it is "eukaryotic LSU rRNA". It matches the Rfam family "Eukaryotic large subunit ribosomal RNA", at positions 77 to 926 of the family's 3401-position model. Lineage: Eukaryota; Metazoa; Annelida; Polychaeta; Protodrilidae. The record is from RNAcentral.
CCCCCAGUAACGGCGAGUGAAGAGGGAUAAGCCCAGCGCUGAACCCGCGUACCUUGAGGUGCGUGGGAAUGUUGCGUUCGGAUCGAUUGCACGCCCUGCUCGUGACUGUCGCACGUCCUUCUGAUUGAGGCUGCCCCGUAGAGGGUGUCAGGCCCGUAGUCGACGGUCGCGGGUGGAUGCAGCGGUUGAUCUUUGAGUCGGGUUGUUUGGGAAUGCAGCCCUAAGUGGGAGGUAAACUUCUCCUAAGGCUAAAUACCAUGGCGAGACCGAUAGCGAACAAGUACCGUGAGGGAAAGUUGAAAAGCACUCUGAAGAGAGAGUUAAAUAGUACGUGAAACUGUCGAGAGGUAAACGGUGAAGGCGUCCCUUCUUUCCAGCGAUAUUCAACCGGCAACUGCGCGGGGCUUGGCGGAUUGACCCGCAAGGGCUGUUCGUCGAUGUCUGUCGGUGUGGGCGUCGGUGCACUUAUCGUUGGGAGUAGCCACGACCGAUUGGACGGGCGCGUGGUGCCCCGUGGGUUGGAGGUUAGCCACUUCGGUGGAGAGCCAAUACCCGCGGGUGCAUGGCCGCCUAUCCGAUCGUGGAUGUGAAGUGACGGCCACUAGGCGUGGGCUGCUCGUUAUAGCGCUUGAGGUCGGUCGCCUUCGUAAGAAGACGGUUGGCCGUAGGGUUCUGUGGCGGGUUCGCUCGCAUGUUGCUUCCUGUUGUGGCACGGGUGCCCUUUACCGACCCGUCUUGAAACACGGACCAAGGAGUCUAACAUGUGUGCGAGUCUCGAGGGUGUUAAAACCCAUAGGCGCAAUGAAAGUAAUGCCGGCGGGAUGGGGGCCUCGGUCCUUUGCACCGCCGCCACGUCCACCGCAUCCCCGUAUGCAGGGCGUAGGCUGAGCAUACACGUUGGGACCCGAAAGAUGGUGAACUAUGCCUGAACAGGAUGAAGCCAGGGGAAACUCUGGUGGAGGUCCGUAGCGAUUCUGACGUGCAAAUCGAUCGUCUGAUUUGGGUAUAGGGGCGA